ACUUCAUGUAGUCGAGUUGCAGACUACAAUCCGGACUACGAUACACUUUCUGGGAUUAGGCUCCCCCUCGCGGGUUGGCGGCCCUCUGUAUGUACCAUUGUAUGACGUGUGAAGCCCUACCCAUAAGGGCCAUGAGGACUUGACGUCAUCCCCACCUUCCUCCGGUUUGUCACCGGCAGUCUCAUUAGAGUGCUCUUGCGUAGCAACUAAUGACAAGGGUUGCGCUCGUUGCGGGACUUAACCCAACAUCUCACGACACGAGCUGACGACAGCCAUGCAGCACCUGUGUGCAGAUUCUCUUUCGAGCACUCCCAGAUCUCUCCAGGAUUCCCGNCAUGUCAAGGGUAGGUAAGGUUUUUCGCGUUGCAUCGAAUUAAUCCACAUCAUCCACCGCUUGUGCGGGUCCCCGUCAAUUCCUUUGAGUUUUAAUCUUGCGACCGUACUCCCCAGGCGGUCUACUUCACGCGUUAGCUGCGUUACUAAGUCAANUAANACCCAACAACUAGUAGACAUCGUUUAG
RNAcentral lists this ribosomal RNA (520 nucleotides) under uncultured beta proteobacterium. RNAcentral's name for it is "partial 16S ribosomal RNA". The record is from RNAcentral. Lineage: Bacteria; Pseudomonadati; Pseudomonadota; Betaproteobacteria.